This is a long non-coding RNA of Pyrus x bretschneideri (Chinese white pear), 2186 nucleotides long. RefSeq lists it as uncharacterized. The transcript is spliced from 3 exons. The record is from RefSeq and is a predicted model, not a curated record. NCBI's taxonomy places the organism in Eukaryota, Viridiplantae, Streptophyta, Magnoliopsida, Rosales, Rosaceae.
UUAAUCCAGUCUUCUGUUUGUUUCCAAUCCGAAUAAAUUUUAGUGGGAUUAGGAGGAACUUGCUCGCUAACUGGUCUUAGCGAGGCCCCCGAUUCGAAGAGGACUGCUAAGCCGCCCUCUAAUCCCGCCAUCUCUUUUCUCCUUUGCAGCUUGCUCCUCGUCCCUUCGCACCUUCGCCCUUUCCCUUCUCCUUCCUUGUUGCACCACCUCGUAGCCGUCCAACAUAUAAACAAUCGACGACGGACCUGUAUCGCUGGCGAUGGUCUUCGUUUGGUGCUUUCUGCUGCGUCGUGAAAUCGGAGUCCCAGCAGCAGAAGGAAAAGAAGACGAACAAGUCUGGGUUGGAUUUGGGUGCCCUAGCUUUCUGAUUUCUAAAUUCGUUUGGAUUUUCUGGUCUUUCAUGUCGAUCUCUGUUGAAUUGUAGUUGGGUAGAGAUGCUUGACGGAUUCGGAGGUAUUGCUGUUGUAUCUUUUUGGAGUUGUUUGCCCAUGAUAUCUGAUGUCCGGAUUUAUUAUCUGUGGCUGGACAUUUCGUUUAACAGAGCGUACAUAGAAGUUUACAGGUCUUUGCGACACGGUUAGCUUUGAUUCUCAACAGCUUUCUGUUACUUUAACCCUGCAAACAUUUACUUUCCGCUACAUUGUUUAUUAGUCGGUUAUUUUUAUUGCCGUGGUAGCAUUAGUUUAACUUUAGUGUUCAUAAAUGACACUCAAAAUAGUAUCUACCAAGUUAUCGUUCAUUGCUCAUGUGUUCUAGUUGGCAUUUGUAUCUAGAAGUCUACAUGAGCAUCUCUUUAUGGUUCCCUUUGUAUUGCACACUGACCAUAAAAGUUUGAUCCUCCAGCUCCAUUUGUAUUGCACACUGAGGGACCAGAGACAAUUGUUGCAUUCUAUUUAUGAUGAUGUAAUCUGUGCAUUUGGAACGAUGUAAUCUGUGCAUUUGGAAGGCUUGGCUACAUGUAUAGGUGUGACAAAUACAACAUUAAACCAGACCUUGUAUCUGUGGCAAAGUCUCUUCUUCUGAAUAUAUGCCAUUCAGCAUUCUUGUGAGCCCAGAAGUUUCAGAUGUGCUACACUCUCAGAGCAGCGAGCUUGGUUCUUUUUCUCAUGGGUUUACAUAUUCUGGACACCCUGUAGCCUGUGCAGUUGUGAUUGAAGCACGCAAGAUCUACACAAGUAGUUGAAGGGCACUGAAGAAUAUGUGAAGGAACUCAAGUUUAAGCACAAGUAGUUUAAGCACUGAACAAUCACGUCAUAUGGUUUAUAAAAUAUAAUUUAAAUAGAUAAUCUCUUUAGCAUUACAUUUUCAGGUAUACCAAAAACUCUUAGGACGAUAUAAAUAUAGUAAUUAGCUACAAUGUACAGCUGGAAACUAAAGCAGUGAGCCUCCACAUCAGCACAAGACCGUCAACAUAACUAAACUGAAUCAUUGCUGAAACAAUUGAGGCACAGCAGCACUAUGGUGGAGGGCGGGCAGUACAAAUCUCUACCGGCAGCACACAAAUGUAUAUUCCAUCUCCUCAACAUCCUAGGAGUUCUCCUCCAGGUGAAGCAUGCGACCGGAAAUUUACCGUCUCCAUUUGUCACAAACCACAAGACUGUUGUGAUGUUGAUUGCUGAUUUACUCACUUACGCGGGGACAUUGGAGACUACCAAGAUUCUCCAAGCUUCCAACAAUACAAAUAUAUAUGAAUUGAUGAAUUGAACAACAUCAGCCUUUUGUGUGGAACUCUUGCGUUGGUUCUACUGGUGCUCCUCCUCGUUCCAGCUUUCGGGUGGUUUACUCUUGCAUGUUGGGCCGUAUAUUUUGUGAUAAUUGGGACCAAGUCCUACCAAACGCUAAGAACAGUGUACUGACGCUGUUCCUUAUGUCCGUGACAAAAUGAAGGAGGUGAUGAGGUUGACCGGCAGCGAAGAACCCCAGAACCAGAACGGGGACGCCUGAGUAUGAUAACUAAGCUGGAAUGCAGAGUACAACUUUUCAAAACAUGUGUUUUCUUUUUUUCGUCCAAAUCAAAGAAAAAAGAGAGAACAUCCUAUCGGAUCAAAUCUAAUCGUUACUUGAUAAUUGUAUUUCACAAAUGCAUGUACCAGUAAGACUUCAUCUUGUCAAUUUCUCUGUCUUUGUAGUACAAGGCAUGUGCUUUUUUAUAAUGGAUGCAGACCUUAAUGUUAAUCCUCUCCGUG